Molecule: ribosomal RNA, 502 nt
Filed under: uncultured Lactobacillus sp.
Lineage: Bacteria; Bacillati; Bacillota; Bacilli; Lactobacillales; Lactobacillaceae
Description: partial 16S ribosomal RNA
Source: RNAcentral
CACGUAGUUAGCCGUGACUUUCUGGUUGAUUACCGUCAAAUAAAGGCCAGUUACUACCUCUAUCCUUCUUCACCAACAACAGAGCUUUACGAUCCGAAAAUCUUCUUCACUCACGCGGCGUUGCUCCAUCAGACUUGCGUCCAUUGUGGAAGAUUCCCUACUGCUGCCUCCCGUAGGAGUUUGGGCCGUGUCUCAGUCCCAAUGUGGCCGAUCAGUCUCUCAACUCGGCUAUGCAUCGUCGCCUUGGUAAGCCGUUACCUUACCAACUAGCUAAUGCACCGCGGGGCCAUCCCUUAGCGACAGCUUACGCCGCCUUUCAAAAGCUGAUCAUGCGAUCUGCUUUAUUAUCCGGUAUUAGCACCUGUUUCCAAAUGGUAUCCCAGACUUAGGGGCAGGUUCCCCACGUGUUACUCACCCAUCCGCCGCUCGCUUUCCCAACGUCAUUACCGAAGUAAAUCUGUUGGUUCCGCUCGCUCGACUUGCAUGUAUUAGGCACGCCGCC